RNAcentral lists this transfer RNA (69 nucleotides) under Monopterus albus (swamp eel). Its description in RNAcentral is "tRNA-Pro". It matches the Rfam family "tRNA". Rfam says of the family: Transfer RNA (tRNA) molecules are approximately 80 nucleotides in length. Their secondary structure includes four short double-helical elements and three loops (D, anti-codon, and T loops). Lineage: Eukaryota; Metazoa; Chordata; Actinopteri; Synbranchiformes; Synbranchidae. The record is from RNAcentral.
CAAAAAAUAGUUUAAUUAAAAUCUCAACUUUGGGAGUUGAGGAUAGAAGUUAGAAUCUUCUUUUUUUGA